This 468-nucleotide ribosomal RNA is filed under the name uncultured bacterium. RNAcentral describes it as "partial 16S ribosomal RNA". It matches the Rfam family "Bacterial small subunit ribosomal RNA", at positions 28 to 507 of the family's 1533-position model. The record is from RNAcentral.
GACGAACGCUGGCGGCGCGCCUAACACAUGCAAGUCGAACGGAGCUGAGAGAAGCUUGCUUUUCUUAGCUUAGUGGCGAACGGGUGAGUAACGCGUGAGUAACCUGCCCUGGAGUGGGGGACAACAGUUGGAAACGACUGCUAAUACCGCAUAAGCCCACGAUCCGGCAUCGGAUUGAGGGAGAAGGAUUUAUUCGCUUCAGGAUGGACUCGCGUCCAAUUAGCUAGUUGGUGAGGUAACGGCCCACCAAGGCGACGAUUGGUAGCCGGACUGAGAGGUUGAACGGCCACAUUGGGACUGAGACACGGCCCAGACUCCUACGGGAGGCAGCAGUGGGGGAUAUUGCACAAUGGGGGAAACCCUGAUGCAGCGACGCCGCGUGGAGGAAGAAGGUUUUCGGAUUGUAAACUCCUGUCGUUAGGGACGAUAAUGACGGUACCUAACAAGAAAGCACCGGCUAACUACGUG